RNAcentral lists this ribosomal RNA (496 nucleotides) under uncultured Desulfobulbus sp. RNAcentral's name for it is "bacterial SSU rRNA". It matches the Rfam family "Bacterial small subunit ribosomal RNA", at positions 903 to 1382 of the family's 1533-position model. The record is from RNAcentral. Lineage: Bacteria; Pseudomonadati; Thermodesulfobacteriota; Desulfobulbia; Desulfobulbales; Desulfobulbaceae.
CAGAAACUACGAAAGGAAGUUGACGGGGCCCGCACAAGCGGUGGAGUAUGUGGUUUAAUUCGAUGCAACGCGAAGAACCUUACCUGGUCUUGACAUCCCGGAGACCCUUAGGAAACUAGGGGGUGCUUCCAUCUGGAAGAAUCUGGAGACAGGUGCUGCAUGGCUGUCGUCAGCUCGUGUCGUGAGAUGUUGGGUUAAGUCCCGCAACGAGCGCAACCCUUGCCUUUAGUUGCCAGCAGUUCGGCUGGGCACUCUAAAGGGGCUGCCGGUGUUAAACCGGAGGAAGGUGGGGAUGACGUCAAGUCCUCAUGGCCUUUAUGACCAGGGCUACACACGUACUACAAUGGCCGAUACAAAGGGCAGCGACACUGCGAGGUGAAGCCAAUCCCGUAAAAUCGGUCUCAGUCCGGAUUGGAGUCUGCAACUCGACUCCAUGAAGUUGGAAUCGCUAGUGAUCGUGGAUCAGCAUGCCACGGUGAAUACGUUCCCGGGCCUU